Molecule: ribosomal RNA, 420 nt
Filed under: bacterium
Lineage: Bacteria
Description: partial 16S ribosomal RNA
Rfam family: Bacterial small subunit ribosomal RNA
Source: RNAcentral
UGGGGGAUAUUGCACAAUGGGCGAAAGCCUGAUGCAGCGACGCCGCGUGGGGGAUGAAGGCUUUCGGGUUGUAAACCUCUUUCGCUAUCGAACAAGGCCCGCUUAGGGUGGGUUGAGGGUAGGUGGAGAAGAAGCGCCGGCUAACUACGUGCCAGCAGCCGCCGUAAUACGUAGGGCGCGAGCGUUGUCCGGAAUUAUUGGGCGUAAAGGGCUUGUAGGCGGCUUGUGGCGACUGCUGUGAAAACGCGGGGCUUAACUUCGGGCGUGCAGUGGGUACGGUCAGGCUUGAGUGUGGUAGAGGUGACUGGAAUUCCAGGUGUAGCGGUGGAAUGCGCAGAUAUCUGGAGGAACACCGAUGGCGAAGGCAGGUCACUGGGCCAUUACUGACGCUGAGGAGCGAAAGCAUGGGUAGCGAACAGG